Molecule: ribosomal RNA, 370 nt
Filed under: uncultured bacterium
Lineage: Bacteria
Description: bacterial SSU rRNA
Rfam family: Bacterial small subunit ribosomal RNA
Source: RNAcentral
GAAGGUGGCAACCGUUGCUCGGAAUCACUGGGCAUAAAGCGCACGUAGGUGGCUAAGUAAGUCGGUGGUGAAAUACCUUGGCUCAACCAAGGAAGUGCCAUCGAUACUGCCAUGCUUGAGGACGGGAGGGGUGAGUGGAACUCUUGGUGUAGCGGUGAAAUGCGUAGAUAUCAAGAGAAACGCCGGUGGCGAAAGCGACUCACUGGACCGCUCCUGACACUGAGGUGCGAGAGCUAGGGGAGCAAACAGGAUUAGAUACCCUGGUAGUCCUAGCUGUAAACGAUGGGUACUGGGUAGGGGCGGACCAAUGCCGUCCCUGCCGCAGCAAAUGUGAUAAGUACCCCGCCUGGGGAGUAUGAUCGCAAGGUUA